Molecule: RNase P RNA, 382 nt
Filed under: Desulfofundulus thermobenzoicus
Lineage: Bacteria; Bacillati; Bacillota; Clostridia; Eubacteriales; Peptococcaceae
Description: Desulfotomaculum thermobenzoicum Bacterial RNase P class A
Rfam family: Bacterial RNase P class A
About the family: Ribonuclease P (RNase P) is a ubiquitous endoribonuclease, found in archaea, bacteria and eukarya as well as chloroplasts and mitochondria. Its best characterised activity is the generation of mature 5'-ends of tRNAs by cleaving the 5'-leader elements of precursor-tRNAs.
Source: Rfam by way of RNAcentral
UGAGUAAACCGGGUGGUCGCGGGUGUCGGAAGCACCUGAGGAAAGUCCGAGCUCCACAGGGCAGGGUGCUGGGUAAUCCCCAGUGGGGGCGACCCCAAGGAAAGUGCCACAGAAAUGCAGACCGCCGGUUCGGAGGUCGGUCGUAUCUGACUUCCGACGACCGACUUCCGAUCUGGCAAGGGUGGAACGGUGCGGUAAGAGCGCACCAGCGGCCCUGGCGACGGGCCGGCUAGGUAAACCCCACCUGGAGCAAGACCGAAUAGGGGGACACGGGAGUGGCCCGCUCCGUCCCCGGGUAAAGGUCGCUAGAGGCGUCAGGCAACUGGCGUCCCAGAUAGAUGAUCACCCAAGACAGAACUCGGCUUACAGGUUUGCUCACAGC